GACGAACGCUGGCGGCGUGCCUAAUACAUGCAAGUCGAACGCAGUGGGGACGGGUGAGUAAAACGUGGGUAACCUCCCAUCAGAGGGGAUAACACUUGGAAACAGGUGCUAAACCGAUACUGAUGGAUGGACCCGCGGUGCAUUAGCUAGUUGGUGGGGUAACGGCUCACCAAGGCACCGAGGCAAAGCCGACCUCAGAGGGUGAUCGGCCACACGGGGACUGCGACACGGCCCAGACUCCUACGGGAGGCAGCAGUAGGGAAUCUUCGGCAAUGGACGAAAGUCUGACCGAGCAACGCCGCGUGAUUGAAGAAGGUUUUCGGAUCGUAAAACUCUGUUGUUAGAGAAGCGGUAUCUAACCAGAAAGCCACGGCUAACUCCGUGCCAGCCGCCGCGGUAAUUC
This 403-nucleotide ribosomal RNA is filed under the name uncultured bacterium. Its description in RNAcentral is "partial 16S ribosomal RNA". It matches the Rfam family "Bacterial small subunit ribosomal RNA", at positions 28 to 526 of the family's 1533-position model. The record is from RNAcentral.